This 14390-nucleotide long non-coding RNA is filed under the name Ananas comosus (pineapple). RNAcentral's name for it is "long non-coding RNA (ACOM_LNC010147)". The record is from RNAcentral. Lineage: Eukaryota; Viridiplantae; Streptophyta; Magnoliopsida; Poales; Bromeliaceae.
AGCGGAAGCUCAAGGAGAAGUUCCGCAAGCUAGAGCAAGGGGACCGCUCAGUGGCAGAGUAUGAACAAGAAUUCUCCCAUAUUAUCGAUUGUGUCCUGGAUGUUGUAAAGGAUGACCGAGACUGGGCCGAGUGGUUCUUGUGAGGACUUCAGCCGGGAAUGUACAGGGCCGUGCAAAUACUUAAGCUCACGACCUUUGCGGAGGUCUUCGAUCGAGCCCUAUGGGCGGAGCAUGGAGAUUCCCACGUUGGGGAGAAGCGUGAGGCUUUGGCUGAGUCCAAGGACAAGGGCAAGAAACGCUAAGGUGGCGGUAGUUCGGGGGGACAAACACAUUACAAGAAACCCCCGAAGUAUCCGCGCACUCAACAGAGGGGCGGUAGAGCGCGGCGAUGCAUUGUGUGGGGCGGAGACCACCCGAUCUCGCACUGUGAGCAAGACCGAGGCAAGUGCUACAAAUAUGGGCAAUCGGGGCACUUCAUUCGGGACUGCCCGGGAGGAGGAGUCUCACCUGCCCCAUCGAUUGCAUCGGCGCCGGCGAUCCCGGCACACUAUGGAGGAGCUCCACCGACGGCCGCGUCGACUGGACGCGCGAUGAUGCCGCGUCAACAUGAAGCGACGCAAUCAGGCCCGAGCGGACGGGUGUUCGCCGCUCAGGUCCAAGCUGAGGAACCUGUGGAGGCGGAAGAGCAUCGCCUCGUGGCAGGUAUGGUUUUAAUUAACGGAGUUCGCUCCAGGGCUUUAUUUGAUACAGGAGCCACGCAUUCAUUCAUAAGUAGAUCAUUCGCACGCAUGCAUGGCAUACAUAUAGAAGCGAGUGACAAGUGGCGAGUGAAGGGCCCUGGGUCGACAUUUAACACCUACUCGGAGUGUGCGUCAUGUCCCGUACAAAUAGGCGACUCGAUCAUGCCUAUCCGGACACUGGAACUCACAAAGCUUGAGGCUUACGACAUCAUUCUGGGCAUGGAUUGGCUCUCAAAAUAUCACGCAACGAUCGACUGCAAGAGCAGGGUGAUCACGUUCUGCGAGCCAGGACAAGAGGAAUUCUCAUAUCAGGCUUGUCAAAGCUCGUGCUUUGUCGCGACGGUGUCGGCGAUGAGAGCGAGGAAAUUGGUCAACAGCGGUUGUACGGCAUGUUUGGCAACUGUUGUAGAAGUGGAACGAGUAGCUCCAACAUUAGGGGAGUUAUCCGUGGUACGGGAGUUCCCGGAUGUGUUUCCUACGGAGUUGCCGGGGAUACCACCGGAUCGGGAGAUCAAGUUCGUCAUAGACUUGGUUCCCGGUACCGCACCGAUCUCAAAGGCUCCAUACCGAAUGGCGCCGGCGGAAUUGAAGGAGUUGAGGAGUCAAAUGCAAGACCUCCUCGACGAGCAAUUUAUCUGGCCAAGUGUAUCACCAUGGGGAGCCCCGGUGUUGUUCGUGAAGAAGAAAGACGGAUCGUUCCGACUCUGCGUGGACUAUCGGGAAUUAAACAGAGUCACGAUCAAGAACAAGUACCCACUACCCCGAAUCGAUGACUUGUUUGAUCAGUUGCAAGCGUUGUGUGUGUACUCGAAGAUAGACUUGCAAUCCGGCUAUCACCAGCUAAAGAUCAAACCGGAGGAUGUGCAGAAAACUACGUUCCGUACGCGGUAUGGACAUUACGAAUUCACGGUCAUGCCAUUUGGACUCACGAAUGCUCCAGCAGCAUUUAUGGACUUAAUGAACCGUGUCUUCAAGAAGUAUUUGGAUCGAUUUGUCGUGGUCUUCAUAGAUGACAUAUUGGUCUAUUCUCGUAGUGACGAGGAACAUGCCGAGCAUUUGAGGAUAGUGCUUCAAGUCCUUCGGGAGAAGCUAUAUGCUAAGCUGAAGAAGUGUGACUUCUGGCUCCGCGAGGUCGCCUUCUUAGGGCAUGUGAUUUCUGCGGGUGGAGUUUCUGUAGACUCGAGGAAAGUUAAGGCAAUCAAGGAUUGGCCGCGCCCGAUGAAUGUCACGGAGGUUCAAAGCUUCGUGGGCUUGGCGAGUUACUAUAGACGGUUUGUGGAAGGCUUUUCCAAGAUAGUGAUUCCACUCACCCGCCUGACUCAGAAAGGCACCAAGUUUGUUUGGAGUGAGGAAUGCGACCGGAGUUUCAAAGAGUUGAAGCAAAGAUUGACUUCGACUCCGGUGCUCGCUCUACCGGUGCAGGGCGAAGACUUCGUAGUCUACAGUGAUGCCUCCGAUCUUGGAUUGGGGUGUGUGUUAAUGCAAAACGGGAAGGUGAUCGCUUAUGCAUCCCGUCAGCUGAAGAGCUAUGAAAGGAACUACCCCAUUCAUGAUUUGGAGCUAGCGGCGGUGAUUUUCACCUUGAAGCUGUGGAGGCACUACCUAUAUGGUGCCCACUGUGAGAUCUAUACCGACCACAAAAGUCUGAAAUAUCUAUUUACCCAGAAGGAGUUGAAUAUGCGUCAACGGCGGUGGUUGGAACUGUUAAAGGAUUACGAUGUUGAUAUCCUCUACCACCCCGGGAAGGCAAAUGUGGUUGCGGAUGCGCUGAGUAGGAAGUCGGCGAAGAACCUCACUUUUGAUGUUACCCAACAAACACCCUUGUGGCUGGAUAUGGAGCGAUUGGACCUUGAGGUGGUCGCUCCCGAGGUUCCAACUCAGUUGAUGGCACUCGUUGUCCAACCGACCUUGUUGGAGAGGAUCAAAGAUCUGCAACCAGCAGACCCAGAACUCCAAAAGGUGCGGUGAAACAUCGAGGAAGGUCAUGGCGGCGAUUUUAAGGUAGACGCCGAUGGUGCGCUUCGAUUUCGAAACCGAUGGUGUGUGCCGAAGAAUGGAGAGCUUCGUGAAUUGAUUCUACAAUAAGCACAACGAUCUCCAUAUGCCGAUCACCCGGGCAGCACCAAGAUGUACCAAGGACUAAAAAUGCACUAUUGGUGGCCGGGAAUGAAAGGCGAUAUCGGACGCUUUGUGGCGAAGUGCUUAACAUGCCAACAAGUGAAGGCCGAGUGUCGAUUUUUAGCGGGAAAGCUUCAAAGCCUACCAAUCCCCGUUUGGAAAUGGGAGGAUAUAUCGAUGGACUUCGUGGUCGGCUUGCCUCGCUCAACGGGCGGCCACGAUGCAAUUUCGGUAAUUAUGGACCGAUUGACCAAGUCGGCUCACUUCUUGCCGAUCCACACCACGUGGUCGGGUGACAAGUUAACGCAGGUACAUCUUGACGAAAUAGUGAGACUACAUUGGGUGCCGAAAUCGAUCGUGUCGGAUCGUGACCCCCGGUUCACUUCACACUUCUGGAAGAGCCUGCAGGAAGCCCUUGUCACACGACUCGACUUUAGCACUGCAUUUCAUCCUCAGACCGAUAGACAAACAGAGAGAACUAUUCAAACUCUGGAGGACAUGUUGCGAGCGUGUGUCAUUGACUAUAAGAGAAGUUGGUGUGAUCACCUACCUAUGGCCGAGUUCGCCUACAACAACAGUUAUCAUGCUAGUGUGGAGAUGGCACCAUUCGAGGCUCUUUAUGGGCGGACGUGUCGAUCUCCUAUACACUGGAGUGAUGUAGGUGAGCGUGCUGAGUUCGGCCCGGAUGUGUUGCGAGAAGCGGAAGAGAAAGUCCGCCUUGCUCGCAAGAGAUUGCUCACGGCGCAGUCGAGACAGCAAAGCUAUGCAGAUAGGCGCCGUCGAGAUAUAGAAUUCGCGGUGGGCCACCGCGUAUUCUUGAAAGUUUCACCGAUGCGGAGUGUGAAGCGAUUUGGAGUGCGGGGAAAGUUGAGCCCCCGAUAUAUUGGGCCAUACGAAAUAUUGGAGCGAGUCGGCACGGUGGCCUACCGACUUGCUUUACCACCGAAGCUUGCGGAUGUGCAAAGUAUGUUCCAUGUCUCUAAUCUCCGCAAGUAUAUUCACGACCCCGAGCAUGCAAUGCUAUAUGAACCGCCGGAACUUUAAAGAGACUUGAGCUACGAGGAGUUUCCGGUAGGGAUUAUCGACCGAGAGGUGCGAAAUUUGAGGAAUCGAGAAAUUUCCUAUGUGAAGGUCAGGUGGAGCAAUCACGAGGAUCGCGAAGCCACCUGGGAACUCAAGGAUCUGAUGAGAAAACACCAUCCUCAUCUAUUUGAGGAGUAAGGUAUGAAUUUAAGUUAAAAUAAAGAAUUGAGUUAGUUUCGAGGACGAAACUCCUUUUAAGGAGGGGAGGAUGUAAGAAAGUGAAUUCUCGAAAUCCGAGAAUUGUACUUCAUCCACGAUCGACUAAUUGUCGAGAGAAUACCCUUUGUGAGAGUUAAGAAUGUCCAAAACACAAAAAGUGCUUUGGAGUUGAGUCCACGAGAGCGAAUGAUGCAAACAGCAUCAUUGGGCUGAUGUUGCUCUCGGGGACCGGUCCCUAGAGGUGAGAGACCGGUCCCCUUGGCUGGGUGUUGUGGGGUUGUUUGAUGCAAUCGGUCCCUGCCAGGGAGGGACCGGUUCCCGAACGUGGUCCCAGCGAGAAAAUGCCGAAAUUGGCUAAGUCCUAAAAAUUGAGCUCUCGGGGAUCGGUCUCUCAGGCGAGGACCGGUCUCCCGAGGACCGGUCUCCCGAGGAGAGACCGGUUCCCGAACGCGUGCGCCCGAGGGGAAGCCCUAGGGGACCGGUCACAAGUCGGGGAGACCGGUCCCUCUGGGCGAAAACUGCCCAAUGAGGGCAGUGCACAGGAGUGAAAGUUGAGGGAUUUUUAUGCAAAAUGGCUUUUAUUUGAGUAGGCUGAGCCCUCUCUCUCCCUCACACUCAUCUCAUUUCACUCUCUCUCACUCUCUUUCUCUCUUGCUCUCUCUCUCUCUAGAAAAGAACACGAUGUGAUUACCCUUCUCCUCUCCCUCUACCUCCACGAGUUUCGGAAGGAGAACUAGAGGAAGAAGAAGAGGAAGGAAUAGAAGGAGAAAAAAAAGGAAGGAGAGGAAGAAUAAGAAGAAGAAGAGGAAAGNNNNNNNNNNNNNNNNNNNNNNNNNNNNNNNNNNNNNNNNNNNNNNNNNNNNNNNNNNNNNNNNNNNNNNNNNNNNNNNNNNNNNNNNNNNNNNNNNNNNNNNNNNNNNNNNNNNNNNNNNNNNNNNNNNNNNNNNNNNNNNNNNNNNNNNNNNNNNNNNNNNNNNNNNNNNNNNNNNNNNNNNNNNNNNNNNNNNNNNNNNNNNNNNNNNNNNNNNNNNNNNNNNNNNNNNNNNNNNNNNNNNNNNNNNNNNNNNNNNNNNNNNNNNNNNNNNNNNNNNNNNNNNNNNNNNNNNNGGUAACCUAGAUAGAUGAGGAUUGGGUCGGAACGUGGAUCCUAUGAUGCGAAAGAUAGAGAUGAACCCGAUGGGGGUGCUGAUGACAUAGAAAGUAUUGCUAAUGUUAAAGAACAUACGAGUGGCAUCCAAACAUUGAAUGAUGACGAGUGGCAUUAAUGUAGUGUAUAUGACACUAGAGGUUUCAGGACCUAGGGAUAGGUGGAUCCCUUAGAAAAUACCUUGUGAACAAUGAAUUUAGACAAGCUAAAUAGCAUUGCAUGAAUGCCGGGAACAAAUGAUCCCGCGAGAGAUGUUGACUCUAGUUAUAGAACAUCCUCACUUGGAGAGGAUUUGAUUGGGUUGUGAUCCCUAGACAUAGUGCAUCCUCACUUGAAGAGGAUUGGAUUGGGUUGUUGACCCUAGUGAUAGGGUAUCCUUACUUGGAGAGAAUAGAUCUAGCUCAUAGUCUGCGUUUGGGAUGGUAUAGCCAUCCAAUCCCCACAUGGAGGGGAUUGUCGUCGAGUACUCCGGAGUGUCUCGCGACUAGGACCACUUGGAGGUUCGGACCACAUGGAGGUCCGGACCACAUGGAGGUCCGCAGACGGUCUCGGGCUUGGGUGCACAUGGAGCUCCCUCCCCACUUUGGGAUUGUAAGGUGAGUUAUGCAAAUUGGGUAACUGGAAAGAGUAAAGGUUUAAUAAUGUCGUUGAACAUUACUAUUCGAACAUGGAUCGAAUUUGUUAGCAUGGUAGCAAACCUUUAUUAUAUGAUGCAUGCAUUCAUAUUCAUAAUUAUGGGUAUAGUAGCAUAGUUUUCCUACUAUUGCAUUUACAGUUUUCAGAUAUAUAUCUAUCUAUCUAUCUGUUGUUACUUGUGCCCACUUGGACCUAGUGGGGAGAUCGGCAGAGUCGGCGACCGAGCCCACUGGGAACUAUAGAAGAUAGUUCUCACCCCACUCUAUUGCCAGUGGUAGGUACAGGGCUGCCGAGGGAGGACCGCAGCAAGGGCAUCGCGACCGAUCAGUGAGACCGUGGUAGAUAGUAGCUUUCCAUUUUGCAUUAGUUCACCUAUGUAUUUGAGAGAUUCAUUGUAGGUGAGGACUUGGAGAGCUAUGUGUUUUGAGAUGAGAAAUGUAAUCAUUUAAAGGGAUUGAUGUAAAUGAAAACGAUGAAAACUAUUGUAAUAGUUAGUAAAGUACUCUCUUUAUUUCAUAUGCUUUAUCUUGUGGAUUACUUGCUCUUGUAUUGUCGGCACUGUUUGUGCCCUUAUGAAUGUGUAUGUUUAGAAUUUAAGUUCCUGGGUAAAUUCUUGUACACAUUCUUGUUGUUGAGCCUUGGGCGAACAGGGGAGGUACUGUCCGUUCGGCAGUCCGCCGCCGCGGCCGAACCGUGCCAAAUGGGUAAUGGUUUCGGGGCGGGGCGUGACAGUGGGUGAAUAGGUGAAAUAGCCAAAAACCACAGAUCUCGAUGCGUUAAAAGUAAAUGCGGAAAAUAAAAAACACACCGAGAUUUACGUGGAAAAACUCCAAACUCGGAGUAAAAAACCCACGGGACCACACGCGAUAAACAAUUCACUAAGAGAAAAGAUUACAAGGUGAUUACCGACUCCACGGACUCUACCUCUCUUAACCUCCUAUGAAUCUCGCGCAAUCCUCCGAGUUGUCCACGCCCUCAUGUUCGAAUCCACGAACGCCUCACACACGUCUGAAUCCACGAACGCCACUCGAAUCCGCGAGCCCACGAUCCGAAUCCACGAACCGCCGUUAAUCACGCCGAAUCCACGACGCCUCCAUGAAGAACAUCAUGUGUAUGGUGAUCCUUCGCUUAGAGUAUCACAGAAAACCAAGGACGACGACUCCAAGCGAAGACCAGAUCAAAUCGACAUAUAGCGAAUGCGAAACGAUACCUCGAUUUGAUCUAAAGAGGCUAAUUUGUAGAAAAUAGGUUUAGAACGAAAUACUAGCCUCUAGGGUUCUUUAAUUGUGUAUUCUUAUGAUAGAUCAUCGAUUAGAGAACCCCUAUAGCUUAUUUAUAGACUUUAGAAUCAAAACGGAGUAGGAUUAGAAAGUUUCUUUCCAUAUUCAGCACCUUGUACCGGUACACGGGAAGCUGUCUAGGGUACAGCAUGACGGAAGAUUUUUCUGCGAAGCUUCUGUACCCUGAACAGACUGCAGCUUGUUCCGGAACAAGGCUUGUACCGGUACAGCCAUGAUGGUUGUACCGGAACAACCAUUGUAUUUCCCUACGACAGUAGCGGUUGUCUGUACCGGUACAGAAAAACCCUUGUACCGGUACAACAAUGCAAUUUUCGCUGAAAAUGCAUUGUUUCGAGUUUUACAAGCUCUUAGAAACUCUCUAAUCAAUCACAACUUGAAAAUUAUGAUUCUAAGAUCUAUAAUUAAGUAUGAAUCACCAUAAACAAAAUUUAAAGCUUACCUAUGUAUCGUGAUUCAAGUUUUGCGUGUUUUGCGUCCUUUCCGAUUCUUCGAAGUCUUGGAUUCUUCGAUCUUCAAUACUCCGCUCCGGACUUCUUCAGGACUCCGACUCGACCCAUGAAACUUGCCAACACAUAGGACCUAACAGAUUGGGUUGUGGACCCUAGUGAUAGUGCUUCCUCACUUGGAGAGGAUUCGAUUGGGUAUUGACUCUACUUGUAGAGCAUCCUCACUUGGAGAGGACUUGAUUGGGUUGUUGACCCUAGAUGUAGGGCAUCCUCACUUGGAGAGGAUAGAUCUAGCUCACAGUCUGCGUUUGGGGUGGUAUAGCCAUCCUAUCCCCACAUGGAGGGGAUUGUCAUCGAGUACUCCGGAGUGUCACGCGACUAGGACCACUUGGAGGUCCGGACCACAUGGAGGUCCGUAGACGGUCCCGGGCUUGGGUGCACUUGGAGCUCCCUCCCCAUUGGGAUUGAAGGAGGAGUUAUAGGCGAGCCCUAGGGCCUCGCCACAGAUUGGGUAAAUGGAAGAUUAAAGGUUUAAUAAUGUCAUUGAACAUUGCUAUUCGAACAUGAAUCGAAUUUGUUAGCAUGGUAGCAAACCUUUAUUAUAUGAUGCAUGCAUUCAUAUUCAUGAUUAUGGGCAUAAUAGCAUUGUUUUCCUACUAUUGCAAUUACUGCUUGAGAUAUCUAUCUAUCUAUCUACCUGUUGUUGCUUGUGCCCACUUGGACCUAGUAGGGAGAUUGGCAGAGUCGGCGGCCGAGCCCACUGUGAACUAUGAAAGAUAGUUCUCACCCCACUCUAUUUCCAGUGGUAGGUACAGAGCUGUCGAGAGAGGACCGCGGAAAAGGCAUCGCGCCCGACCAGUGCGAUCGUAGUAGUAUAGUAGCUUUCCUUUUUACAUUAGUAAACCUAUGUAUUUGAGAGAAUCAUUGUAGGUGAGGAUUUGGAGAGCUAUGUGUUUUGGAUGAAUGAUGUAUUCAUUUAAAGAAAAUGAUGUAAAUGAAAAUGACGAAACUAUUGUAAUAGUUAGUAAAGUACUCUCUUUAUUUCACAUGCUUUAUCUUGUGGAUUACUUGCUCUUUGUAUUGUUGGCACUGUUUGUGCCCUUGUGAAUGUGUAUGUUUAGAAUUUAAUUUUCUGGGUAAAUUCUUGUACACAUUCCUGUUGCUGAACCUUGGGUGGACAAGGGAGGUGCUGUCCGUUCGGCAAUCUGCCGUCGCGGCCGAACCGUGCCAAAUGGGUAGUGGUUUCGGGGCGGGGCGUGACAGCCUUUGUGGUAUAAGAGCAGCAACAGCAAGUAAAGAGAGAAAGUUUAAGAUAACCUAGGAGACCCUAGAUUGGUAAGCCCUAAGGUUAUAGGUACGUGAGCGGAACGUGAACCUAUAGCGUUGGCGGAAGUUAAUUCGAUUGGGUCGAAGUUGGUAAUAUGUCUCUAGUUAUGAUUAGAGACGGAUUCAAGUGGUAUGAUUUCUUGUCUUGAGGUGGUUGUGUCGGCGGCCGACGACAUGAUACCAAGAGUCUAGAACGAGUGCACUUGUGUGCUUCCGCCCGAUUCUGUUGUUGAGUCGUCAUGUGUCGUAAUGGCGACGAGGUAAUUGGUUAAGAUGACUGACCAAGUAUUUGCGUUUCAGGGGCAAAUGUCUCCAAGAUGCUACACGCGUAUAUCUGCCCCAGCACCGAUUCCUGAGAUGCCCGAGCAGGAGGAACCGACCGUGAUAGAUCGGUUGCAAGCGCAGGUGACCGCGCUGACCAAUAUGGUGCAACGCCAGAAGACCCGAUUCGAGCGGCUCCAGGAUCUAUUGGAGCGGCAGAUUGCGACGGCGUUCGCGAUGGUGAAUGAGGGCGGUGGUCCGCCCGCACCCUCGACUCAUAUACCCGGAGCGACAGAGGGUGAGGGCAUAGCGGCGGUUCCGGUGACGGCACGCCCACCGCCAACGAUCGUACCACAGGCGGCAUCAGGAUCGGCUACACCCGAUGUGUCGGCAGAAGACGUGGAGGGAGAGCGCGCAUUAGCGGCUCUUAUCAAGUUCAACAAGCUCCAUCUGCCAACCUUCGAGGGCGAGAAGGUGGUACCGGAGAUGGUCGAGUCUCGGAUUGACUCGAUGGAAACACUUUUCGAUGAUUUGCGUACCUUGGAAAGGGACAAGGUGUACCUCACCACCCAGUGCUUCGAAAAGGCGGCAAAGGUUUAGUGAAAGCGCGUCAAACGGGAUCGGCUUCCAGGCCUUCCACCAAUGUUGUGGGAGGAGUUCAAGCGGGAGAUGUUCGCCAACUAUUUCCCCGAUACACUGAAGCGGAAGCUCAAGGAGAAAUUCCGCAAGUUGGAGCAAGGGGACCGCUCAGUGGCGGAGUAUGAACAUGAAUUCUCCUAUAUUAUCGAUUGCGUCCCGGAUGUUGUAAAGGAUGAUCGGGACCGGGUCGAGUGGUUCUUGCGAGGACUUCGGCCGGGAAUUUACAAGGCCGUGCAAAUACUCAAGCUCACGACCUUUGCGGAUGUCACGUCCCGCUAUCGCCAGUUUGGUCGAUCCGGGCCCGUCCACAGACGCCGAACGAACAGCAUCUCCUCUAUUCGCCCAAGGCUCAACAACAACAAGUACAUGUAUAAAGAAAUAAACAAUUCCCAGGAUCACAUUUCAAUAUACAUGGCUUGCACGAUGGCAAGCAACAAACACAAGUGAUAGUAAAGCUAGCUAAACAUGAAAUUUCACUGUAAUUUAAAACUUUAAACUAACUUGCAUAACUGAAACAUUUAGUUAUAUACAUGCACUUUAUUACAUUCAUUUACAUGUCUCUGUACAUCGAAAUAGAUGAUACAUGAACUCAAACUGGUAACCACUAAAACUCGGGUGUCCACUAGCUAGGCUGCUGGGCUCUUGCCUCGAUCCUCGGCCACAACGCUCGCACUGAAACCUGUAUGGUUAGUGGUGUGAGAACUACAAGAAAGUUCCCAGUGGGUUCGGCUGCCGACCUCGCCGACUCACCCACUAGGUCUACUCAGGCAUAUGUAGGCAAGAAAGGUAAACAGAUAGUAACCAAAUAUAAAUGUAACUACUACAAUGCCUGUACAAAGCUGAAAGAAGCAAUAUAUAUGGAAACUGUAAAUAAGCAUGCAUGCUUUUCAUUAACUUUACCCAAUCUUUUGGUUAACCCACUGGUUAACAAUAACUCACUGACACUAUCCCAAACAUCGGGGAGACGCAACCUGCACCCGACGGGACUGUCAACUGGGGGAGACGCAACCUCCUGGUCCAGUAAAGAUGACUACUCCGGAGCUCAUCGUUCAAGGAGGAGCGACCUCACUUGAACCAAACAAAUGUGAGUAUGAUCUGAUCCCCCUUUAGAGGAUUCAACUGACAAACCUGUCAUACUUUACUCGAACUAGCUCUUUAUGCUAGUUGUAUAACUCCAAUGUCGAUGCUAACCAAAUCUCUAGUCAUAUGUCACCAAGUUCACUAUUGUUAUAGUCCAUGCAUUCAUAGGGUUCUAUGUCCACAUUCUAUGUUCAUAUGUUCUUACUAUCAAUAAGAAAUCACACGUUCAAUAUCACUUGCAUAAUACCAAUGCCCAUACCCUAUAAUGCAUGAAAACAGAAGUAAAUAUGCUCAAUGAAUAGCAUAGACAUAAAAGGUGAUUCAAAGACUUCAGAUAGCACCACCCACCUGCAGUGGUGUCAACAACUAGAGUCCACGUCUCGAAGUGAAUCCGCAAAGGUAUCACGCGACUCAAUGCAACUAGAGCCGAAUUGGCUUCUAAUGCAAUUAACGCUUCGCCGACCUGUCGGAAUGUCAAUUUAGACUUUUGUACAAGUUUAACUUUCAUUUAUGAAGUAAUAAAAGAGGUUAAACUAGGGUCAAAUUCUCAUAUUUUACAAGUUAGCAUUUCGACUCCACCUUGUCUAUAUAGUAUCAACGUAUACAUAUACAUAGUAUAAGAUUGGUUUUAUAAGCUCAUGAUACAUAGAAACUUCGAUACUUGAGAAGUCCCUUACUUAGCAUUCCCUUACAGCAAGUAUCCUUAUUCUACUUCAGAAAUUAAGGUUAACUUAUUCCAAAUUUCAUCCCCAACAUCCUGCCAUAUACAUUCAUUUGUACAUCAUACAUAUAUGCAGUUUUCAGCAUAUAUAUGCAAAUUUCAGCAUAUAUAUGUAGCUUUCAGCAUAAUUAAGGUCCCUGUAGGCUAAUUUAUCCAUGAUUUAACCUCAAUUCAUUGCGUCCUUGACCUAUUUUCAGCUCACAUUAAAAUUUGCAUCAUGCUGAAUUCUGCACUAUGCUGAAAUUUUCAGCACUAAUACUUCCCUUUCAACAUUAUAUAAGUAUUUACUUAAAGUAACUUUCAUAAUACUUAAAAUUUCAGCUCACUAUUAAUUUCAGCAUCAUGCUGAAAUCUGACUUCAUGCUUAAUUUUCAGCAUUGCACUACCUCUUUAAGCAGCUACUUAAUCAAUUUAAUUUCAGCUUUAUUAAUCACUAAUUCUUGCUGAAAUUUGCUUUUGUCUCAUUCUUUUUCAGCUCAUUCAAACCUGCAGUAACUAUAAGUGACCUUACUUUAUCUCAGUUACCCAUUGGAUUCUCAAUUAGCAUUCUCUAUACUAGCUAAUUCAAUUUCAAACAAAGUGAAAUCAGAAUCACCUUAAUUUGCUGCCCAAUUAGUUUGUUUUCAGCUCACAUUAAACCUCGCACAAGAUUGAAUUCUGGAUCAAGCUAACAUUUCAGCAUUUAUUCCUUUCCUCUCAACAUCUCAUUCCAAAGCUUCAAUGUGAGUGUUCAGAAGUUCACACAGCAGCAGCCACCACACCUGAUCUCUUAAGCAGCAGCUCCACAAUGGCAACCUGCUGCUCAACCACCAAGUCAACCUUAUUUAGUUUCUUCAAUAUCUAAGUCUUCUCAGCUGAAGCUAUCACUUAGUCCCUCUGCUGCAGUCCAAGACCCACUCUCAAUUAACCACUAUUCCUGCAUUAACUUUAAUUGCUUAGAAUCACUUUCAAGGCAGUUAAUCACAAUUAAUCAGGAAUUAGCAUCCAUUUACCCGAGUUUAAACUUCUUCAAAGUUUUCUUCUCAGCUACACUUGCUACACAAUAGCACUAGCCCUUUCAGCUCCAAUGCUGAAAUUUCAGCAAUAUAAUUUCAUAUAGGUCUCAUUGCCGUAGCGAUUCAUUAACUAGAACCCAUAAUAACUAAAUUACCUUAAUUAGCCGCUGACUUAACUUGCUUACUGCUUCAAAUGGUCUAUUCCUGCAAUCCUGCAGCAUCAACAACAGGAAUACUCUUAUUCCUUCAGCUGUCCUCUUUACUCGGGCAGCACCACAACAUCAGCAUCCCAGCUGUCAAAAAUCAUCACUCGAAGGCUCAGUUAUCAACGUGAAUCACAAUUAUCAAUCCGAUUUAAUCAGAGAGAGGUAUUACUCUUACCAAAAAUCGAAGUUUCCUUGCUUCGAAGUCUUUUCCCUGCUGAUUUCUUGCUCAGUCACUCAAUCCGAUCAAACUUCUCGAAGCUAUCAGUUCAAACAGCAGGAAACCCUUAAAUUGCCCAACUCUAAGGCAACUAAUUUAACAAUAAUCCAAUACUAGAAAUAUCUUACCUUAAUUAGAUAUUUCUUUUUCUUUCUCUUUCUUUCUUUCUUUUCCCUGCAGCUGAGCUGCUGCUGCUGUUAUUGAUGCUGCUGCUGCUGCUGCUGUUUUCAGCAGCAGGGAAAAGGGCUGCUGCUGCUGUUUUCAGCAGCAGGAAAAGAGGGCUGAGGGGGAGAAAAAUAAAUCCUCACCUUUUUCUUCUACUUCUUCUUGUUCUUCUUCUUCUCUCUUUCCCUCUCUCUUUUCUCUUUCUCUCUCUCUCUACGUAUGGAAGGGAAGGGCAGAGGAUAAGGAUGGCUGAGGUCUCCUGCUGGUUAGUGGAAUUCCACUAACUAUGCAUAAUUACCAUAAUGCCCCUCGACUUAUUCCGUUUAGUCGCACGGAUUAGAUACCUUUCGCAGGCCCUUCCAAAAGUCCGAUUGAGCUCAAAUUUGACAGGCAUGUUCGGUUUUACUUAACUAGUCCAAAGAAAUUUUAACAUUUCAGUUCCGACCCCAUUUGGUCACUGCGAACUGUACCGAACUGAAAUCUUGAUCGGAUAGCUUCCGGACUCAAUUUCUCUCUCUACGAGUGUCAGAAUAAUCUGAAACUUUAAAUCUAGCCUCAUGAACAUAGUCCUGACAUCUCCGCCAAUUUUCAUAAUUUUCUGACACUGUACAUUUUCUGCUAAUUUCUCAGUCCCGUUCUUUACAGAAAAUUCCAAUUCUUCUGUUUUCGCUCCGAUUCCACUCAAACACUUCCAAAACAUACCAAGGGACUUUCACAAGCUACCAAUUUAAUUUGGAAGCAAUUCCUUUUCAUUUUGACAUCAUAUGGCUCAACUUGACCAAAUCGACUAAAAUUUCAGCUUUCGAGUUGUAAUGACAAUUGGAGUUCUUUAGCCACUCCAAUUCCAUUCUUAUCUAUUCUCACACUUCCAAAAUGUGCCAAGGACUGAUCUCAGGCUUCUAAUUAAGUUUAGGAACCCUUAAUUUCCAUUUUAGCACUAUUGCGACCCCUUGAUCACAAUUAACUUAAGCUGAAUUUCCAAUGCAUUACAGCGGAGGUCUUUGAUCGAGCCCUAUGGGCAGAGCACGGAGAUGCCCACGUUCGGGAGAAGCGUGAGCUUUUGGCCGAGUCCAAGGACAAGGGCAAGAAACGCCAAGGCGGCGGUAGUUCGGGGGGACAAACACGUUACAAAAAAUCCCCGAAGUAUCCG